This is a long non-coding RNA of Pan troglodytes (chimpanzee), 931 nucleotides long. RefSeq lists it as uncharacterized. The record is from RefSeq and is a predicted model, not a curated record. The transcript has 2 exons. Lineage: Eukaryota; Metazoa; Chordata; Mammalia; Primates; Hominidae.
AGAAGUACCGCAAGGCACCAUCAUUAAAGUCACCAUCUGGCAUAACUGGAAAUGUCAGCAAAUAGGGAGUGUAAAUUGAUGGGCAUACUACUGUUUAUGCCUUUUAACUGGCCAUUUUUGUCCUCCACUGUCUUGGCAGCAAUAUGAUAUUAACGCAUAGAAGAUACUUUUCCCAUCAACUAUAGAUGGCUGUUCUUCUCCGUUUUCCUGCUAUUUUUUACUUUAAGAGGACUGGGAUUACUAUGAUCCACUUGAAGAUGAAAACAGUAACAAGUAAAAAGAAGAGCUAUGCUGGUUUCUCUCUAUUUUCCAGCCUCUACUCCCACCACCACCACUGUUACAAGAAAGAUCCUUUGUUCUGUUCUGUUCUUUGCCCCAGGAAGCUGAUCCCUGUGGAUUACACACCUGAGCAUCCUCCUACUAGCUUCUGGUUAAAUUCAGCCAGUGAAGAUCAAGAGUGAUCAGAGGACUGAAAGAAAGAGACUGAGGUUUUUCUUCUCCCCUCCUUUUCUGCUCUGGGUCAUAUUUUCUGGAACAUGCUGCAUUCCCCCAGGAUUAUAGCACCUUUUAGGUUGUUCCAUGUCUCACUGGGCUCUGGUAGAGAAAUUUUCUCCUCUUGCCCUUUAGGCUUAGGAGUGGCAAGGGCUUCCUGUGGUUUCUAGGCUCUUCAGUGCCUCAACAUCCUUUACUGGCUCCUCUAAAUUCUCUCACCCCUUUGAAAGCAGUCUAUCAAAUUCUUAAACCAUGUGAGGUUCCUAUGAGGACCCUGAUACAAGAGCUGAUUUUAGAGGGAUAAAAAUUGUUAUUUUCUUGUCCUUUAUAGUCCAACAAUAGAGUUGUAGGAAACCUUGUGUUACAUAAUUUGUUUAUAUUCAUGUUCACAGUUUUAUGUACUAAAAUUAUUCAAAAGUAAAAUAUGUAUUAACAGAGA